CCUACGGGAGGCAGCAGUGAGGAAUAUUGGUCAAUGGGCGAGAGCCUGAACCAGCCAAGUCGCGUGAGGGAGUACUGCCCUAUGGGUUGUAAACCUCUUUUGUCGGGGAGCAAAAGCCGGACGUGUCCGGCUGUGAGAGUACCCGAAGAAAAAGCAUCGGCUAACUCCGUGCCAGCAGCCGCGGUAAUACGGGGGAUGCGAGCGUUAUCCGGAUUUAUUGGGUUUAAAGGGUGCGCAGGCGGAUUUUUAAGUCAGCGGUAAAAUCGUGGGGCUCAACCCCAUCCAGCCGUUGAAACUGGGGAUCUAGAGUGUGCGAGAGGUAUGCGGAAUGCGUGGUGUAGCGGUGAAAUGCAUAGAUAUCACGCAGAACCCUGAUUGCGAAGGCAGCAUACCGGUGCACAACUGACGCUCAGGCACGAAAGCGUGGGUAUCGAACAGGAUUAGAUACCCUUGUAGUC
This 458-nucleotide ribosomal RNA is filed under the name uncultured bacterium. RNAcentral describes it as "partial 16S ribosomal RNA". It matches the Rfam family "Bacterial small subunit ribosomal RNA", at positions 338 to 795 of the family's 1533-position model. The record is from RNAcentral.